GCUUUCGUGGUGUAAAGGUAACACACUCGGGGAGUAUUCGAGAUGUCCAGGUUCGAGUCCCGGUGAGGGCA
RNAcentral lists this transfer RNA (71 nucleotides) under Stegodyphus mimosarum. It matches the Rfam family "tRNA". From Rfam's summary of the family: Transfer RNA (tRNA) molecules are approximately 80 nucleotides in length. Their secondary structure includes four short double-helical elements and three loops (D, anti-codon, and T loops). Further hydrogen bonds mediate the characteristic L-shaped molecular structure. tRNAs have two regions of fundamental functional importance: the anti-codon, which is responsible for specific mRNA codon recognition, and the 3' end, to which the tRNAs corresponding amino acid is attached (by aminoacyl-tRNA synthetases). tRNAs cope with the degeneracy of the genetic code in two manners: having more than one tRNA (with a specific anti-codon) for a particular amino acid; and 'wobble' base-pairing, i.e. permitting non-standard base-pairing at the 3rd anti-codon position. The record is from Rfam by way of RNAcentral. Lineage: Eukaryota; Metazoa; Arthropoda; Arachnida; Araneae; Eresidae.